This 68-nucleotide transfer RNA is filed under the name Marmota monax (woodchuck). RNAcentral's name for it is "tRNA.Ala". The record is from RNAcentral. Lineage: Eukaryota; Metazoa; Chordata; Mammalia; Rodentia; Sciuridae.
GGAUAUAGCUCAGUUGAUAGAGUGCUUGCCUUGCAUGCACAAGGCCCGGGGUUCAAUCCCCAGCACCA